RNAcentral lists this ribosomal RNA (253 nucleotides) under uncultured bacterium. RNAcentral's name for it is "partial 16S ribosomal RNA". It matches the Rfam family "Bacterial small subunit ribosomal RNA", at positions 524 to 776 of the family's 1533-position model. The record is from RNAcentral.
UACAGAGGUCUCAAGCGUUGUUCGGAUUCAUUGGGCGUAAAGGGCUCGUAGGUGGCCAACUAAGUCGGACGUGAAAUCCCUCGGCUUAACCGGGGAACUGCGUCCGAUACUGGUUGGCUUGAGUUUGGGAGAGGGAUGCGGAAUUCCAGGUGUAGCGGUGAAAUGCGUAGAUAUCCGGAGGAACGCCGGUGGCGAAGGCGGCUGCCUGGACCGACACUGACGCUGAGGCGCGAAAGCUAGGGGAGCAAACGGG